CAACACAAGCAUAUAUACAAAUAUCAAAAAUAAAGAGAAAAUGAAGGGUAAUGCUACUUGCAUAGCAAGUACCACCGGAUUUUUGCAAUGGAAUUCUCCACUACCCUACCUCUAUGGCGGUCUCGGCCUAAUCUUGGGGCUCAUCACGGUGGCAUUACUCGUCCUCUCUUGCUCACCGGAAAAGCCAAAUGACAAAGAAGAAAAGCAAGCAAUGACCACCAAUACGCUUACUACGGAGCCUAGUUUCGUUGUCGUAAUGCCCGGACAUGAGAAUCCGACGUAUUUAGCCAAGCCCGUCUCUUCAAGUGGCCAUAUUGCCACACAAGUUUGAGGUCAUUUGCAUUUUUUUUCUUUUUCUUUUUUAAACACAAGUGCGAAAAUUGUAAUUAAUAUAUUGUUAGUGAAAAAGUUGUAAUAUAUUCUUUCCUCCCCUCAACACCGCCACCAAAAAAUGUCUAAAGUUCAACAAAAAUUAAAUUUAAAAUGUUAAAUUUGUUUUUUAGUGCAAAGGAGGCAAGGUUCAUUAUCAUCCUCUAGCAAUAUUGCUAGAAUUUUUAUAGGAGGAUCUCUG
RNAcentral lists this long non-coding RNA (571 nucleotides) under Panax ginseng (ginseng). RNAcentral describes it as "long non-coding RNA (PGIN_LNC002849)". The record is from RNAcentral. Lineage: Eukaryota; Viridiplantae; Streptophyta; Magnoliopsida; Apiales; Araliaceae.